CGAAUUCUCGCGCGAGUGACGGCGCUCCUCCCACAGUGGGCGUGGCGCCGAGCCCUGGGGCUGCUGAGAGCGUCUCCGGGUCCAGGCUGGCGGGACUGAGCGGUGGGUUCGGUGCGAGCGUACCUUGACGCUGUCAGCCAGGACCGGUCUCGGGCCACCCACAAAUCCUUAAGCACACUUUCUCCCCACGCUCCCAGUUACCGUUAGGCAAAAGCGGACAGCGUCUCCGGCCCAGCCAAAGCAGCGCCUGGGAGACUCCUUCCAGGAGCGCGUUUCUGUCAGCAGAGCAAACACCGGGGUCCCCUCCGCGGGGUCCGCCCGCAGGUCCUGACAGCUCGAGGCGGUGACCGGCGGUAGUCCUGAGGGCCCGCUUGGCUCCCCCGCGGCCGCCCGCCGCUAGAUUUCAAACGCUCUAUUGGCGGGAACCCGUGCACCAGCUGAAACGCCUGCGGUGGCGCCACCUCUGGGACCUGGAGAGUCACCAGGAUGGGACUCGUCAAAAAAUUGCCCAUAAUCUUCAAAACUAAGAAAAGCAAACUAAAUGAGGCUUGUCCCACAAAAUUCAGAGAAACCUGAAGAAAAUCCUCAACAAUACAAAAUCCUCACCAAUCUUGGACAUAUAUAUGUGUACCAUGUACAUGUCUGGUGCCCAAAGAGAUCAGAAGAAGGUGUCACAUUCCCUGGAACUGGAGUUAUGGAUGGAUUUGAGAUACCAUGUUGGUGCUAGGAAUUGAACCCAGCUUUUCCAGAUCUGGUCCAUCCUGGCUGCCUAGAAUGGAGACAAACCUAGGAUGAUGUGGUAGAAGUGGAGCCCAUGACCACCCUACAAACCUCUUCACACGCCCAUCACUCAUAUUCUGGUGAUGUUAUGUAAAGAAGUGUCUAGUUGCCAGGCAUAGUGGCC
Molecule: long non-coding RNA, 904 nt
Filed under: Cricetulus griseus (Chinese hamster)
Lineage: Eukaryota; Metazoa; Chordata; Mammalia; Rodentia; Cricetidae
Description: lncRNA (ENSCGRG00015035596.1)
Source: RNAcentral